RNAcentral lists this ribosomal RNA (253 nucleotides) under uncultured bacterium. RNAcentral describes it as "partial 16S ribosomal RNA". It matches the Rfam family "Bacterial small subunit ribosomal RNA", at positions 524 to 776 of the family's 1533-position model. The record is from RNAcentral.
UACGUAGGGGGCAAGCGUUAUCCGGAUUUACUGGGUGUAAAGGGGGCGCAGACGGCGAUGCAAGCCAGGAGUGAAAGCCUGGGGCCCAACCCCGGGACUGCUCUUGGAACUGCGUGGCUGGAGUGCAGGAGGGGCAGGCGGAAUUCCUGGUGUAGCGGUGAAAUGCGUAGAUAUACGGAGGAACACCGGUGGCGAAGGCGGAUUGCUGGACAGUAACUGACGCUGAGGCGCGAAAGCGUGGGGAGCAAACAGG